AGAGUUUGAUCAUGGCUCAGGAUGAACGCUGGCGGCGUGCCUAAUACAUGCAAGUCGAACGCUUCACUUCGGUGAAGAGUGGCGAACGGGUGAGUAAUACAUAAGUAACCUGGCAUCUACAGGGGGAUAACUGAUGGAAACGUCAGCUAAGACCGCAUAGGUGUAGAGAUCGCAUGAACUCUAUAUGAAAAGUGCUACGGGACUGGUAGAUGAUGGACUUAUGGCGCAUUAGCUUGUUGGUAGGGUAACGGCCUACCAAGGCGACGAUGCGUAGCCGACCUGAGAGGGUGACCGGCCACACUGGGACUGAGACACGGCCCAGACUCCUACGGGAGGCAGCAGUAGGGAAUUUUCGGCAAUGGGGGAAACCCUGACCGAGCAACGCCGCGUGAAGGAAGAAGUAAUUCGUUAUGUAAACUUCUGUCAUAGAGGAAGAACGGUGGAUAUAGGGAAUGAUAUCCAAGUGACGGUACUCUAUAAGAAAGCCACGGCUAACUACGUGCCAGCAGCCGCGGUAAUAC
This 521-nucleotide ribosomal RNA is filed under the name uncultured bacterium. Its description in RNAcentral is "bacterial SSU rRNA". It matches the Rfam family "Bacterial small subunit ribosomal RNA", at positions 8 to 526 of the family's 1533-position model. The record is from RNAcentral.